This 259-nucleotide long non-coding RNA is filed under the name Elaeis guineensis (African oil palm). Its description in RNAcentral is "long non-coding RNA (EGUI_LNC037118)". Lineage: Eukaryota; Viridiplantae; Streptophyta; Magnoliopsida; Arecales; Arecaceae. The record is from RNAcentral.
AGGAAGUAUAAACUUUUAUCUCUUUGCGUGCUUGUUUUUAUUUUGUUCGACAUCUACAAGGUGAUUCUAGGGUUUGGAUUUCGGUUCAAUAGUUUUAAUUGUUAAAGCUAUUAAUAUAUUUAUUUUAAAAAUUUUAAAAUUUAAUUUUCACUGCAUGAUUGGAACCCAACAAUGAUUCCCCAUGACCUAAUUAAUUAGGAGUCCUAAUUCAAAUAUGAUUUAAAUUUUUUCACCCCUUAUCAUAUGAGGAAUCCUAAUG